CCCUUAAAACACUCUACAGUGAACCAUUGUAAAUGAGUUGAGUCUUCAUUUCAUGGCUCAUGUAUUUUCUUUAUUUGAUGAUCAGUGUUGCUUAAGUGGAAAACGUACAGCAGGUUCGUCCGGAUAGCUUCUCAACAUCUACAUGAAAAAUCAGCUCCACAGCCUCAGCUGUAUCUUACUUGCCACAACUUUUUAUCUUUUUCUGUCAUUACUUCGACCAACUUCUCUUUGCUUUAAGCUCAGAACGUGUCUGAACUCUGCCGUUUGUGUAUCGUAGCAACAGUCACGUUUCAGAAUCGGACGCUCCUAUUGGCCCCCGUGGGUGCAGCGUCACAGCGAAUCGGAGCGUGUGAUUCUGUGGCUUUGAUGUGAGUAGACGUCACCAUCAAAGACAGUUCGACGUACGUUCAGAUGGAAGCAACGCGCCAGGCGAAAGCAACAGUCACGUUUCAGAAUCGGACGCUCCUAUUGGCCCCCGUGGGUGCAGCGUCACAGCGAAUCGGAGCGUGUGAUUCUGUGGCUUUGAUGUGAGUAGACGUCACCAUCAAAGACAGUUCGACGUACGUUCAGAUGGAAGCAACGCGCCAGGCGAAAGGGUCAUCGGAAAAGUUUUUUUAAUCAUGCUAAAGUUACUGAAUGAAAGGUUUGGGGCAUCCACCGAAAACGGAUCCAUUUUUGGAAGAAGCCCACACAUUGUCCUGGACUACGAUGUACCUCUUUGUUUGUACAAAGCUUGUACAUAGUUCACCUUGUGUCCUAAUUAUUUUUGUGCGUCGCAGGUGUUUUUAAAUAGUUCGGUUUCAUGUUUUUUUUUCCUCCCUCAAUUAUUGGUCCGUUGCAUCAGGAGGGAGGAGGCCAGGAGAGGAUCAUUGGGAGGGCAACUGGCUUUUGUUGGAUUUUGUAAAUAGUUAAUGUUGUUUUGUUUGUUGUUUUUGUUCAUGACAAGGUUUAGUAAAUAGUUGUAUUUCAUGUAUCUUUUUUAUUUGUCCGCUUUUAUUAUGGUAAUUUAUUUUGAUUUUGUUCAUAGUUUUUGAUAAAUUAGUUUUUACAUGGAUCAUUAGAGGAAUGUUCGUCAUGGUAAGUUUCCUACUAAUUUUGUUUUGUAAAUAGUUUUUGGUGUUUUUAAAUAGAUCGUUAGAGGAAAGUAAGUUUCCUUUUCCCUUUUUUU
Molecule: long non-coding RNA, 1168 nt
Organism: Xiphias gladius (swordfish)
Lineage: Eukaryota; Metazoa; Chordata; Actinopteri; Istiophoriformes; Xiphiidae
Exons: 3
Source: RefSeq, a predicted model, not a curated record